AAGCCUGAUGCAGCAACGCCGCGUGCGGGAUGACGGCCUUCGGGUUGUAAACCGCUUUUAGUAGGGAAGAAGGGCUUCGGCUUGACGGUACCUGCAGAAAAAGGACCGGCUAACUACGUGCCAGCAGCCGCGGUAAUACGUAGGGUCCGAGCGUUGUCCGGAAUUAUUGGGCGUAAAGAGCUCGUAGGCGGUUUGUCGCGUCUGCUGUGAAAAACUGGAGGCUCAACCUCCAGCCUGCAGUGGGUACGGGCAGACUAGAGUGCGGUAGGGGAGAAUGGAAUUCCUGGUGUAGCGGUGGAAUGCGCAGAUAUCAGGAGGAACACCGAUGGCGAAGGCAGUUCUCUGGGCCGUAACUGACGCUGAGGAGCGAAAGCGUGGGGAGCGAACAGGAUUAGAUACCCUGGUAGUCCACGCCGUAAACGUUGGGCGCUAGAUGUGGGGACCUUUCCACGGUUUCCGUGUCGUAGCUAACGCAUUAAGCGCCCCGCCUGGGGAGUACGGCCGCAAGGCUAAAACUCAAAGGAAUUGACGGGGGCCCGCACAAGCGGCGGAGCAUGCGGAUUAAUUCGAUGCAACGCGAAGAACCUUACCAAGGCUUGACAUAACCGAGAACGCCCUAGAAAUAGGGAACUCUUUGGA
This 639-nucleotide ribosomal RNA is filed under the name Agromyces sp. So3Ps_1860. Its description in RNAcentral is "bacterial SSU rRNA". It matches the Rfam family "Bacterial small subunit ribosomal RNA", at positions 379 to 1022 of the family's 1533-position model. Lineage: Bacteria; Bacillati; Actinomycetota; Actinomycetes; Micrococcales; Microbacteriaceae. The record is from RNAcentral.